AUUGAACGCUGGCGGCAUGCCUUACACAUGCAAGUCGAACGGCAGCACGGGAGCAAUCCUGGUGGCGAGUGGCGAACGGGUGAGUAAAGUAUCGGAACGUGCCCAGUCGUGGGGGAUAACGUAGCGAAAGUUACGCUAAUAACGCAUACGAUCUAUGGAUGAAAGCGGGGGAUCGCAAGACCUCGCGCGAUUGGAGCGGCCGAUAUCAGAUUAGGUAGUUGGUGGGGUAAAGGCUCACCAAGCCGACGAUCUGUAGCUGGUCUGAGAGGACGACCAGCCACACUGGGACUGAGACACGGCCCAGACUCCUACGGGAGGCAGCAGUGGGGAAUUUUGGACAAUGGGCGAAAGCCUGAUCCAGCCAUGCCGCGUGCAGGAUGAGGGCCUUCGGGUUGUAAACUGCAUUUGUACGGAACGAAAAGGUUUGGGCUAAUAAGCUGAGCUCAUGACGGUACCGUAAGAAUAAGCACCGGCUAACUACGUGCCAGCCGCCGCGGUAA
RNAcentral lists this ribosomal RNA (500 nucleotides) under uncultured bacterium. RNAcentral describes it as "partial 16S ribosomal RNA". It matches the Rfam family "Bacterial small subunit ribosomal RNA", at positions 30 to 523 of the family's 1533-position model. The record is from RNAcentral.